Molecule: ribosomal RNA, 392 nt
Filed under: uncultured beta proteobacterium
Lineage: Bacteria; Pseudomonadati; Pseudomonadota; Betaproteobacteria
Description: bacterial SSU rRNA
Rfam family: Bacterial small subunit ribosomal RNA
Source: RNAcentral
GAGUUUGAUCAUGGCUCAGAUUGAACGCUGGCGGCAUGCCUUACACAUGCAAGUCGAACGGUAACAGGUUAAGCUGACGAGUGGCGAACGGGUGAGUAAAUGUAUCGGAACGUGCCCAGUCGUGGGGGAUAACUGCUCGAAAGAGCAGCUAAUACCGCAUACGACCUGAGGGUGAAAGCGGGGGAUCGCAAGACCUCGCGCGAUUGGAGCGGCCGAUAUCAGAUUAGGUAGUUGGUGGGGUAAAGGCCUACCAAGCCGACGAUCUGUAGCUGGGUCUGAGAGGACGACCAGCCACACUGGGACUGAGACACGGCCCAGACUCCUACGGGAGGCAGCAGUGGGGAAUUUUGGACAAAUGGACGCAAGUCUGAUCCAGCCAUGCCGCGUGCGGG